UUGGAGGGCAGUCUGGUGCCAGCAGCCGCGGUAAUUCCAGCUCCAAUAGCGUAUAUUAAAGUUGUUGCAGUUAAAAAGCUCGUAGUUGAAUUUCGGGAUCAGAUUGUCGGUCGUGCCUCGGUACGCACUGGUAUUAUUGGUUCCUACCUUCUGAAGAACCGCGAUGUCAUUGAUUUGGUGUCGUGGGGAAUCAGGACUGUUACUUUGAAAAAAUUAGAGUGUUUAAAGCAGGCUUACGCUUGAAUACAUUAGCAUGGAAUAAUGAAAUAGGACGUUUGAUUCUAUUUUGUUGGUUUCUAGGAUUGACGUAAUGAUUAAUAGGGAUAGUUGGGGGCAUUAGUAUUCAAUUGUCAGAGGUGAAAUUCUUGGAUUUAUUGAAGACUAACUACUGCGAAAGCAUUUGCCAAGGAUGUUUUCAUUAAUCAAGAACGAAAGUUAGGGGAUCGAAGACGAUCAGAUACCGUCGUAGUCUUAACCAUAAACUAUGCCGACUAGGGAUCGGAUGAUGUUAAUUUUUUAAUGACUCAUUCGGCGCCUUACGGGAAAC
This 547-nucleotide ribosomal RNA is filed under the name uncultured Glomeromycotina. Its description in RNAcentral is "SSU rRNA". It matches the Rfam family "Eukaryotic small subunit ribosomal RNA", at positions 548 to 1098 of the family's 1831-position model. Lineage: Eukaryota; Fungi; Glomeromycota. The record is from RNAcentral.